AGUUCAACACCGACCCCCCUGACGACGUCGUUCGGGGACGAAAUCAUCAACAAACGUCAUUACACAGAAACGACUCGUCGUACAAUUCAUCUCCGACUCCCAGCGGCAUCUGGAAGAAGAAAGGAAAGCAAAACACUCUCCGCUCGCUGCGAGUGUAGCAAACAAACAGUUGAAUCCCCUCCCGAAGCUCAACGACGCCGUUUUAACUUUGCAGCAAGCACCGCCUGCACUGUGCAAACCCUAGUUUUCUUCUUCUUCGCACCAUGUCCUCCGAAGACAUAACUCUCGUCACCGACCAGAGGAUCGAAAACGGUCUCAACUCCCCUCUCGUCUUCCAAGACAACCCUCUCCGCUUCAGUUGCCCCGACCCGACCCGUCGGGUCCCCGACCGGGGCCCAAAAUCCCGCGAACUCGGCACAUUCAUCGACGACAAGAUGUUCAUCGAUCGCGACCGCUUCUUCGCCGCCCAGGGCGCCGAUUUCCGCCGCGCCAACGUCUACGCCGACUGCUCCGCCCGCCGCGACGCGCCCGACGCCCGCAAUUGGAGCGCCAGCGAGGACGACGAUUCCGAUGACGAAGAUGACGACGAUGAUGACGACGACGACGCCGAAGUAGAAGGACUCGUUGGCGACGGAACCAAAACCGACGUUAACAACAACAACGGCGAUGGUAAUUUGCCUGCUGUUGCGAACGGGAAAGCCCACGCUUAUGUUUCCGGAAGAGAACUAUUGGUGAAGGAUGGUGGAGACAUUGGGCAAUUGGUGCAUAACAAUGUGAGUGGUGGUGAUGAGGAUCAUCGGCAAGAGGGGUUAGGUAAGUCUCAGAAUUCUGGUACUGUUGCUGAGACUGACUGUGAGGAGUACUAUUCGCACUAUCUUCAAGGUGGUGAAGGGGCUUCUGUGCAGAAAGUUAUGGUGGAUGACAAUGGUUGCGGGUUUAGUGGGAGAAAGGAUGUUAUGUAUUCCAGCGAGUCAGGGGAGUCACUCAGGGCAAUUCUUUCAGAUCCUGUUACGGGUGCUCUUAUGGAUGAUGCGAUGAUAUUACCAUGUGGACAUUCAUUUGGUGGAGGUGGAAUACAGCAUGUUAUUAGAAUGAAAGCUUGCUGCUCUUGUUCUCAACCCACGACUGAAGAAUUAAUAUCUCCAAACCUAUCACUUCGAGCUGCUGUGCAGGCAUAUCGUCGGGAAGAGGAGACACAGUUUUACCGGUCACCUAAAAGAAGAAGAGAGAGAUUUGAUCAGGACAGGGUGGUUUUGGAGAUGCAGCUGUUAUGGAAACAUCGAGGAGUAGAGGUGUUCAGUUUCCAUUUGCUGUCAUGGACCGGGUCAUCAUAAAGGGAAACAAAAGGACACCACAACGAUUUGUUGGGCGCGAAGCUAUUGUAACAACGCAAUGCCUAAAUGGAUGGUAUGUGGUGAAGACAUUGGACAAUGCAGAGAGUGUAAAGUUGCAGUAUCGAUCCCUGGCCAAGGUUUUGGAUGAUCCUUCAAAACCUGCCUCCAGCAAGAUGGCACCUAAUUGGCUUUAGAUCUGCAGCACACCUUCAUCAAAUACUUGUACUAGAUGCCACUACAUUUUGAGCGUUCAAUCGCUGACAUACCAACAGAAAUUCUUCUUUGUAAUUCCAUUGUUGUAUUCCUUGCGACAAAACUGUGCUAGCUGAGUUUGUAAAUAUAUAUAAACCUUACUUUACCAUGCUUUGUGCUCGUUGAGAUUGUAGUAUCUCCCUAAUCAUUUUGUUAUACAUACUCUAACAGAAUAUAUAUUUUCUUUUUUUUUAUUUUUUAUUUUAAUUUUUAAGUGACCAGAUUUAUUCAA
Cajanus cajan (pigeon pea) is the source of this 1818-nucleotide RNA transcript. It is a transcript of the gene named RING/U-box superfamily protein, with no coding region annotated. Lineage: Eukaryota; Viridiplantae; Streptophyta; Magnoliopsida; Fabales; Fabaceae. The record is from RefSeq and is a predicted model, not a curated record.